RNAcentral lists this ribosomal RNA (373 nucleotides) under uncultured organism. Its description in RNAcentral is "partial 16S ribosomal RNA". It matches the Rfam family "Bacterial small subunit ribosomal RNA", at positions 527 to 896 of the family's 1533-position model. The record is from RNAcentral.
GUAGGUGGCAAGCGUUGUCCGGAAUUAUUGGGCGUAAAGCGCGCGCAGGGCGGUCCUUUAAGUCUGAUGUGAAAGCCCACGGCUCAACCGUGGAGGGUCAUUGGAAACUGGGGGACUUGAGUACAGAAGAGGAAAGCGGAAUUCCAAGUGUAGCGGUGAAAUGCGUAGGGAUUUGGAGGAACACCAGUGGCGAAGGCGGCUUUCUGGUCUGUAACUGACGCUGAGGCGCGAAAGCGUGGGGAGCAAACAGGAUUAGAUACCCUGGUAGUCCACGCCGUAAACGAUGAGUGCUAAGUGUUAGGGGGUUUCCGCCCCUUAGUGCUGCAGCUAACGCAUUAAGCACUCCGCCUGGGGAGUACGGCCGCAAAGGCUG